CUCUUCUCAACCCUGCUUGAUGCAUGUAAUUGACAGCCUGUGGUUUUUCUGGGGCAGAGAUUUCUGGAUUGCUUCCUGCUCAUCCUCAGGGGACCAUCUGGAACUGACAGUCUGUCCUCCAGACUCAUAGCUUCCUCUUUCCAAUCAACCAGUCAAUCAUCAAGCAUUUGCGCACACCUUAUGUGCCCAACAGGCCUCCUUUGCUGUGGGAGAAGCACUCAGAGCUAGAGUGCCCUCCGCAUUCAACAGAAGCACAGUUAAGUGUGAGGCUCAGGUUAAAUUUCAGGAGCGUUUAUUCGGGGGAGGCUCUCCAGAAUUGCUGUGGUGUGCUUUCAAGUUCCCAGCCUAGCCGCACUCCAGAAUCACACCAUCCCCGGCCUAAUGAAUCAGCAUCUCCAAGAUUGGCAAAAGUGCUGCUAUCAAGGACAAGUCGAAUGGCUCCUGUGUGGCUGCUUCCCUGGCUCUUGAGCUAUGCAGUGUUAAUACAAGUGGGGAAGGCGCAACAGAAGACAGCUGUGUUUAACUUCACGUCAACUUUGUUAGCUUUUUUCUAAUUACAUUACCAAAUUCCAUUACACAAGGGUCAGGAAUUAACAUUUUUAACAUCAACGAUUUAUAUUAUUUUUAUGAUUUAAAUUAUUAAAAUGACUUAAGUUGUUCUUAGUCACUUGUUAUUAUUCUCAUUUGUGUUCAUUGCUAUGGGAUCAUUUUAGUAAUUUACAGUUGACCCCUUAAUACAGCUGUAUGAAUUAUUGAAUAUUCUUUACCUUUCUGCUACAGUAUUUUCUAGAGAAACUUCUGAUAGUGAAUACACCCUGAUAUUAGCGUUCACAGAAGAUAAAAAUAUUUGUGCUUUUUUUUUGUCUUUUCAGUUGUUUUAUUACAAAAUAUAGACUUUCUUUUGGUAGUUAUAUUCAACAAUUAGAAUGGUAGAAAGUAGAAAGGAAUAUUCCCUACUUCUCAAUUUCGGUUUUCAAAGAAAUUUUGUUUGAAGGUUUAUUAUUUUAGUCUUUCAAAAAUAUUUAUGGAUGGCUGAGCAUACAAAUAUUUAUAUUUGUUUUUUUAAAAAAGGAGCAUUAGUGUUUCAGGAAAAAAAAGCAACAUUUAUUUACCAGUAACAAUUUAAAAUUGUUAUUUACUUAACAUAUACUUAUGUAUCACUUGCUUUGUUCUGUGUUCAAGUUCCAUAUACUCACAUUGCUCUAAGUGUGUUAAAAGCCAUUAGCUAUUGGGGGGUGUGGUGGCUCACGCCUGUAAUCCCAGCACUUUGGGAGGCCGAGGCUGGUGGAUCACCAGGUCAGGAGUUCGAGACCAGCCUCACCAAUAUGGUGAAACCUGUCUCUACUAAUAGAAAAAUUAGUUGGGUGUGGUAGGGUGCACCAGUAAUCCUAGCUACUCAGGAGGCUGAGGCAGGACAAUUGCUUAAACCUGGAAGGUGGAGGUUGCACUCCAGCCUGGGCGACAGAGCAAGACUCCAUCUAAAAAAAGAAAAAAUUAUUAGUUAUUGUAAAACUCCUAUAAAACUAAGACACAGAGGUUUAGUCAUUUGCCUUAGGUAACACAGGAAGUGGUAGAGUCAGAAUUCAAAUCUAGACAGCCCAGCCUCUAAGACUUCUAUCUACCAGGCUCUUGAUUCCGACAACAUCCCUUAUCAACAAAAGAAAAACAAAAUUUAUCUUUGGAAUUUUUCAGACAUAAUAAAUAACAUUUUUGUAGUUGAAAUCUUUAUAAAUCCUCCAUUAAUGUGUGCAGUUUUCAGAGCUACCAUUUUCUCUUCCUCCUUCUAGGUUUGUCAGAUAAAAUAGAAGAUACCAGGCCAGGUGAGGUAGCUCAGACCUAUAAUCCCAGCACUUGGUAAGCAAAGGUGGGUGAAUCACUUGAAGUCAGGAGUUAGACCAGCCUGGCCAACAUGGUGAAAUCCCAUCUCUACUAAAAAUACAAAAAUUAGCCAGUCGUGGUGGUGUGCACCUGUAAUCCCAGCUACUCAGGAGGCUGUGGCACAAAAAACACUUGAACCUGAGAGGCAGAGGUUGCAGUGAGCCGAGAUUAUACCACUGCAAUCCAGCCUGGGUGACAGAGCAAUCUCUAUCUGAAAAGAAAAAAAUAAUACACACACACACACACACACACACACACACACACACACUUAUGUGUGCUUAUAUAUACUAAAUGUUUAUAUAUGUGUGUGUAUAUAUACUAAAUG
This is a long non-coding RNA of Callithrix jacchus (white-tufted-ear marmoset), 2203 nucleotides long. NCBI's taxonomy places the organism in Eukaryota, Metazoa, Chordata, Mammalia, Primates, Cebidae. The record is from Ensembl.